GACGAACGCUGGCGGCGUGCUUAACACAUGCAAGUCGAACGAUGAAGCUGGAGCUUGCUCCGGUGGAUUAGUGGCGAACGGGUGAGUAACACGUGAGCAAUCUGCCCUUGACUCUUGGAUAACUGCGGGAAACUGUAGCUAAUACCGGAUACGAGAUUUGGAGGCAUCUCCGGAUCUGUAAAGAAUUUCGGUCAAGGAUGAGCUCGCGGCCUAUCAGCUUGUUGGUGGGGUAAUGGCUCACCAAGGCGACGAGGGGUAGCCGGCCUGAGAGGGUGACCGGCCACACUGGGACUGAGACACGGCCCAGACUCCUACGGGAGGCAGCAGUGGGGAAUAUUGCACAAUGGGCGAAAGCCUGAUGCAGCAACGCCGCGUGAGGGAUGAAGGCCUUCGGGUUGUAAACCUCUUUUAGUAGGGAAGAAGCGAAAGUGACGGUACCUACAGAAAAAGCACCGGCUAACUACGUGCCAGCAGCCGCAGUAA
This 483-nucleotide ribosomal RNA is filed under the name uncultured bacterium. Its description in RNAcentral is "partial 16S ribosomal RNA". It matches the Rfam family "Bacterial small subunit ribosomal RNA", at positions 28 to 523 of the family's 1533-position model. The record is from RNAcentral.